UGGCCAUCUGAGGUGCUAAAAUCUCAACACCAAUGAAGCAAGUGUGCAUAAAAACAAACGAUAAAACACAACCAAAUAGAAGAAAACAGGCUGGAACAGAGUUGGUUUUGUACAGGAGUUUCCUUCCAGGAGUUGGUGUUCCCCUCCCUCCCCCGAAGGGGGCUGAAGUGCUUGCCCCAUCCUCAGUGUGCCCAUUGGAACACUGUGCCCUCUCUUCCCACCUGCUGCCAGGAUGAAGCGGCCAGCCCCGGGUCGGGACCAUGUCACCUGGGCACAGCCAGCCACCUCUGCGUGCCCACGUCUCAGGGGGAGCUGGGGGUCCCUUGGCUCUCCUCACACGGCAAAGGGACACACGUCAUUGAAUGCACACGGCUGAGUCACUGCUGCUGCGUCGGGCAGCGCCAAGAGCUAGAGCAUCCUGCUCGAAUUCGGAUACAAAUAAGGAAUCUUGUGCUCACAAGAGCCUUCUUCAGCUUUAAAAGUACAAAAUUUGAAUUAAAAAUAUUCAGAGUAAAAAAACCCACUAUCUGAUAUGCAAGUCAUAUUCUUAAAGUGCAACUGAACAGCAAAUAACAAGUUGUGCCUUUUACAACCAUUUUGAUAUAAAAAGGCCUUUCAACAUUCCCUUUUGUGUAUUUUUAAUCAAUUUGUGAGGCGAUGUUAGCUCUUCGUUUUCAUUCUCGCUGCUGGAGGCCUUCAGCACAACCCAAAGUGUUUAGGAUUAGGAUAUGUGGGUUUUCUGUGCAAUAAGGUAUUACAUCCUCAAGUGAUCUCACUCCUUCAGCAUUGCAAAGAUCUGGCAAUGUCCCCCAGCAUGAAAGGGAAAUGAAACCAUCUGAUGUUUCUUCUUCAGGACUUUUUUCUGUUCUACAGCUCACAUUCAAUGACCUUUAGUUACAAGUUAGAUGUGGUCCAUAUACCCAGAGCACUGUAAAAUAAACUGAGGUCAAUUCUCUGCACAAGUCAAUUUACAGUAAACUUUCUUUCUUCCCUCUUCCUGCACUCCAGUUUCCACUGGCCCCCUCAAAUGCAGACUGUGUAAGCUACCAUUGCCAGUUUGACUCGGGCAGCAGGCCCUGCACCAGCAAACAGGAGGGAAUUCUGUUUGUUGGACAUCCUGCUGGUAAAACCAAGGCUCCGGGAUGCUGGUAUGGCAGGUACCACUUGCUAAACACGCAUAGUUAUGAAGUAGCACUGCAGCUGCCUGUCUGUCUGCUUGGUUUCACGAGUAUCUGGAUUUAAUUUGCAAUGCCUUAGCAUAAAACACUAGGUGGAAUGAAGGGAGAAGACUUUGGGUGGAAAACACAUUU
This is a long non-coding RNA of Ficedula albicollis (Collared flycatcher), 1310 nucleotides long. RefSeq lists it as uncharacterized. Lineage: Eukaryota; Metazoa; Chordata; Aves; Passeriformes; Muscicapidae. The record is from RefSeq and is a predicted model, not a curated record. The transcript is spliced from 2 exons.